GGAUUAGAUACCCUGGUAGUCCACACCGUAAACGAUGAAUGCCAGUCGUCGGUUAGUAUACUAUUCGGUGACACACCUAACGGAUUAAGCAUUCCGCCUGGGGAGUACGCUCGCAAGGCUGAAACUCAAAGGAAUUGGCGGGGACUCGCACAAGCGGUGGAGCAUGUGGUUUAAUUCGAUGCUAAGCGAAGAACCUUACCAGGGCUUGACAUGUAAGCAUAAGCUUGCGUGAAAGCGUGGAGUGAAUUUGAGCUUGCUUAAAUUGGUUUACACAGGUGCUGCAUGGCUGUCGUCAGCUCGUGUCG
This 305-nucleotide ribosomal RNA is filed under the name uncultured bacterium. RNAcentral's name for it is "partial 16S ribosomal RNA". It matches the Rfam family "Bacterial small subunit ribosomal RNA", at positions 775 to 1067 of the family's 1533-position model. The record is from RNAcentral.